This 367-nucleotide long non-coding RNA is filed under the name Salvator merianae (Argentine black and white tegu). RNAcentral's name for it is "lncRNA (ENSSMRG00000013425.1)". Lineage: Eukaryota; Metazoa; Chordata; Lepidosauria; Squamata; Teiidae. The record is from RNAcentral.
GUGGGUGUGAGCGUGUAUGCUAUUGCUGUAUCAUAGCUUAAGGUGCGGCAGCACACCUUGUGUGUGUUUAGGACAUGGUAUGCUCUGUGUGUACAUGACUUUGCAGCUGAACGUGGGUGGUAUGUGCAUUUGGCAGAAAGGGGUCUUACGAAAGAAGGGACACCUGUAUGUGGAAGAGGACUGCUUGGCUUCAACAAGACAAUGUUAGGUCAGAAUGUUAGAAAAGAAACCUCCAAGCAAAUAUUCUUCCAUAUUUUAACCUCACGUAAAUCAUGGUGCUAUCUUGACAACAAGAAUGGAAUUGAGCCUACUUCUGGUGUUAUUAUAUAUAAAACAGAGCAAUAUGUUUUGAAAGUAAAUAUCUCAA